This 162-nucleotide ribosomal RNA is filed under the name uncultured bacterium. RNAcentral describes it as "partial 16S ribosomal RNA". It matches the Rfam family "Bacterial small subunit ribosomal RNA", at positions 355 to 509 of the family's 1533-position model. The record is from RNAcentral.
UAGGGAAUUUUCGUCAAUGGGCGCAAGCCUGAACGAACAAUGCCGCGUGAACGAGGAAGGUCUUCGGAUCGUAAAGUUCUGUUGAAGGGGAAAAAGAGCGGAGAGAGGAAAUGGUCUCCGAUUGAUAUUACCCUUCGAGGAAGUCACGGCUAACUACGUGCC